This 30-nucleotide non-coding RNA is filed under the name Rattus norvegicus (Norway rat). Lineage: Eukaryota; Metazoa; Chordata; Mammalia; Rodentia; Muridae. The record is from RNAcentral.
UUACAAGGACCGCAAUUUUGGCAUGACCUC